UCCUGACCGGAGCAACGCCGCGUGAGUGAUGAAGGUUUUCGGAUCGUAAAGCUCUGUGUUAGGGAAGACAAGUGCCGUUCAAAUAGGGCGGCACCUUGACGGUACCUAACCAGAAAGCCACGGCUAACUACGUGCCAGCAGCCGCGGUAAUACGUAGGUGGCGAGCGUUGUCCGGAAUUAUUGGGCGUAAAGGGCUCGCAGGCGGUUUCUUAAGUCUGAUGUGAAAGCCCCCGGCUCAACCGGGGAGGGUCAUUGGAAACUGGGGAACUUGAGUGCAGAAGAGGAGAGUGGAAUUCCACGUGUAGCGGUGAAAUGCGUAGAGAUGUGGAGGAACACCAGUGGCGAAGGCGACUCUCUGGUCUGUAACUGACGCUGAGGAGCGAAAGCGUGGGGAGCGAACAGGAUUAGAUACCCUGGUAGUCCACGCCGUAAACGAUGAGUGCUAAGUGUUAGGGGGUUUCCGCCCCUUAGUGCUGCAGCUAACGCAUUAAGCACUCCGCCUGGGGAGUACGGUCGCAAGACUGAAACUCAAAGGAAUUGACGGGGGCCCGCACAAGCGGUGGAGCAUGUGGUUUAAUUCGAAGCAACGCGAAGAACCUUACCAGGUCUUGACAUCCUCUGACAAUCCUAGAGAUAGGACGUCCCCUUCGGGGGCAGAGUGACAGGUGGUGCAUGGUUGUCGUCAGCUCGUGUCGUGAGAUGUUGGGUUAAGUCCCGCAACGAGCGCAACCCUUGAUCUUAGUUGCCAGCAUUCAGUUGGGCACUCUAAGGUGACUGCCGGUGACAAACCGGAGGAAGGUGGGGAUGACGUCAAAUCAUCAUGCCCCUUAUGACCUGGGCUACACACGUGCUACAAUGGACAGAACAAAGGGCAGCGAAACCGCGAGGUUAAGCCAAUCCCACAAAUCUGUUCUCAGUUCGGAUCGCAGUCUGCAACUCGACUGCGUGAAGCUGGAAUCGCUAGUAAUCGCGGAUCAGCAUGCCGCGGUGAAUACGUUCCCGGGCCUUGUACACACCGCCCGUCACACCACGAGAGUUUGUAACACCCGAAGUCGGUGAGGUAACCUUUAUGGAGCCAGCCGCCGAAUGGUGACAAGGAUUUG
This 1103-nucleotide ribosomal RNA is filed under the name Bacillus subtilis. Its description in RNAcentral is "bacterial SSU rRNA". It matches the Rfam family "Bacterial small subunit ribosomal RNA", at positions 381 to 1477 of the family's 1533-position model. The record is from RNAcentral. Lineage: Bacteria; Bacillati; Bacillota; Bacilli; Caryophanales; Bacillaceae.